CUUCUCCUGUAAAAUUUAUUUACACUUACAAAAUCUUUGAGUGUAAUACAAUAUUUAUUUUGUAUUACACUCCAAGGUUAGGCUCACUUAAAGCAUAGCCUUAAAUGAGCCUAAUUUCUUAUAGUAACGUUAACUAAUUUAAUGUUAAUAAUUAAUUAUUUUCUAGGUACUCGUUAUUGCCUAGUUUGCCUUAACCCUUAUUAAAUAAAUUAAGCAUUUUACCAUUAACAAAAACAGGUGUAGGACUGACAGACAACCUACAGUAGUAUUCCAAUUAACUCCUACACUACUAUUGAUAAUUUCAUGAAAUAUAAACAACCAUUUUUGUAUGUUGGCUUGUUGUGGGAUUGUAGUUAUGAGUAACCAAGCUGGAUCAAGUAAUCAAAUUACCAGUAUAAGAAAGUCAUCAUCAUUAACAACCCAUAUUCGGUUCACUGUUGAGGUUAGGCUAAUGGUCCACCACACUGGCCCAAUGUGGAUUUUUUUUUGUGAAGUUCACACACAAAGAGAAUUAAGAAAAAUCUCAGGUAUGCAGAGGUUUCCUCACUAUGUUUUUCGUUUACUGUUUGAGACAUGUAAAUGUCAUGUUUCCUAAAUGGAAAGUUGGACCGGAAUCAUUGUGAUGAUCAUGAUGAACAUGAUGAAUGAAAUUAUUUACAUAUUAUAGGACAUGUCCUAAUUUUGUAUGGAGGCUAGGCCUUUAUUCCGAGUGUCAAAUAAGCAGUACAAAUUAUUUUUAUUUUAAAAUAACAUAAAAUAUAGGGCUUAAAGCACAAAAUAAAAAAAAUUUUGGAAACCACAUUUUUUUUCAAUAAUUAAAUUAUAAUGUAUUUUUUUCAUUAGCUGACAACAUUAAUUAAGAAUUUUUAUCAUGGCAACAUGCUUGUAGCUCACACCCUAACAGAUUGUCAGUGAUAUUCGCGUAGUAGCGUUCGUUUAUGGCGUUUAUAAGCAAUUUAACGAUUUUUUUGUUUAAUGCUUCUUUGUCUACAAUUUAGUGUUUAUUUUUAACUUGUGUCUUAUUGACAUUUGACAAUAUUACAUGACAUUGACAGCUUACACAGAUAUGAAUUCAAUUCCAGGUCUUUUUAUUUUCUGUUUUGAGCACUUUUACUAUAUUGUCUAUGUUUAAUUUGCAGACAAGGGAGCGAAACAGACGAUUUUAUUGAAAACAGGCUUACCAUCAAAGUCCAUAGCAGGAUCUAUUUUUGGUGUGAGGAAUGCAAUAAAUAAGUUUAAAUGGUAAAUUCCUAGUGCAUAUGUGACUAUAUACCAGCCCUGUAAACAUUUACAAAGUUUAAGUCGGUUGGAUCAGUAUGGGGAAAUAGUAUGUUGUAGAGAGACAAAUGGCUUCAGUAUUCCAUGGAUUCACCAUGUGGGUGCUGGGUGCAUCAUGUGGCACAGAGAAAAACAAAGGAGCCUGGGGCUUGUGACCCAUGUGUAGGGUGAAGGAGCUUCUCCGUAACAUGUCUACAUUUGGUAAUACCAAAUUAGGUAAUACCCUACUACAGCUACUUUGGCUACAUAUUCUAAUAUAGAGUUUACUGCAGUUUUAGUGAGCAAGUGAGCAAGAGAUUUUGCUGGUAUUCCUUUUGCAACCACUUCUAUAGCAUACAAACUAAUUACAUAGCCAUGUUUAGUUACUUCAUUUGUUAGGUUAGGUUUAGUUUAGUUAGUUAGGUUGACUUGUUUAAAUACUUUUCUAGUGUAGAAUCUCAGGAUUCAAUGAUCAUUUGAGUAGUGGUGUGAAAAAACAAUAAUAAACUCACUCGGUCAUAUUAGAGUGUAGAUUAGAAUAUUGUUACAGUUGAAACAUGCAAUUAUAAUUUCAAUGUUACAAAAAACUUACUUGUUUUAAAAAUAUUCGUAGGACGAAUAUAGCUAACAGUAAUAUACUGGCUGCCCAUCGACUCUUUAUAUGUGGUGUCCAUUUAUCUAAGAGUCCUUGGUAUAUCUGUAAAAUGAAACAGAUUUAUAAAGUACUGUUGUAAAAAAUAUUAGGUAUUAUUUUGUAACUUGCAGAAUCAAACGAAAAUAGCCAUGUAUAUGUUAAUUUAUUAUAUAUAUGGGUAACUUGG
Bicyclus anynana (squinting bush brown) is the source of this 2078-nucleotide long non-coding RNA. RefSeq lists it as uncharacterized. Lineage: Eukaryota; Metazoa; Arthropoda; Insecta; Lepidoptera; Nymphalidae. The record is from RefSeq and is a predicted model, not a curated record. The transcript has 3 exons.